CUGUCGUCAGCUCGUGUCGUGAGAUGUUGGGUUAAGUCCCGCAACGAGCGCAAACCCUUGCUUAAUUGCCAUCAUUCAGUUGGGCACUUUAAAGAGACUGCCGGUGUUAAACCCGGAGGAAGUGGGGAUGACGUCAAGUCCUCAUGGCCUUUAUGCCCAGGGCUACACACGUGCUACAAUGGGUGGUACAAAGAGCAGCGAACUCGCGAGAGUAAGCGAAUCUCAAAAAGCCAUCCUCAGUUCGGACUGAAGUCUGCAACUCGACUUCAUGAAGUUGGAAUCGCUAGUAAUCGCGGAUCAGCAUGCCGCGGUGAAUACGUUCCCGGGCCUU
RNAcentral lists this ribosomal RNA (331 nucleotides) under uncultured Syntrophus sp. RNAcentral's name for it is "bacterial SSU rRNA". It matches the Rfam family "Bacterial small subunit ribosomal RNA", at positions 1049 to 1382 of the family's 1533-position model. Lineage: Bacteria; Pseudomonadati; Thermodesulfobacteriota; Syntrophia; Syntrophales; Syntrophaceae. The record is from RNAcentral.